CUCUCCUUAGGCUGGGAGGGGCCAAGCCGCUGGCCCGUGAGCCUGGGGCAGCUCUGGACUGUGCUUGCUGUCCUUGAGGAGAAUGCAGCCAGCCCAGGGCAAAUCAGAGCCAGGCAGCAUGUCGUAUUCUAUAUAAUGGGAGGAAAAAGAAGAAGUGGCUUUUUCUGCGGGGCUUCCCCUGAGUCUCCCCCUUGGCCCUAGAGCUGACCUUGUGUGUCCCAGCCAUGGAAGAGGCUGUGCACAGCAGCUCAGCAGGCUUGUGCUCCAGACCAGCCAGUCCUGCCCUCUGCUCUUCAUACCCAAUCCCAUCAUCAUCAGGAAGAAGACCUCCUUGAGAAGAAAACGGAACAUGGCCCUAACAGUGGGCAGCAUGAAACUGAGGAACACAGCAGGAAGCUGAUUUAGGCAAACUCAGCAGGAAGUGUUCCCUGUGAACCCAUGAGACUUCAUCCCUGCGUUGGUCUGGCUGGCUUUCCCUGUGAGAUACAGGUUCCUCCUGAAGAGCUGAAGCUCCAUUCCAGCUCUAGACUUCUCCUUGCUUUCAGACUUCAAGAUGAGAAGCAUUUUUCCAGUCCACAAGUGUUAGAGGACACUGCCGAUGAUGUGUGUUUUGCCCAGGCUGGACUCAGCUUCUUUGUCUCGUUUUGAAAGAAGAGUCAUGCUUCAAUUAAUAACAGACAACGGAGUCAAUAUGAAGGGAGCAGAGACAAUGAUGUGAUCAAAUGCCAAGAAAUGACUGACAGCAGAAAAAAUAUCAUGUGAGCCAAAGCAAUUUCACUUGACUUCUAACUUUAUUCAUCCAACGAAUAACAUUUCAUCACAGUUUUAUCAAUGGAAUGCAAUUCCACCCAGAUCAUUCUGUCAACGACAAGAAACAGCAUCAAAUCAUUCUGUCCACACAAAUAAAUCAAUUGUUGAUUAUUAUUUUCUUCUAUUUGGGAUACAAGGAGGACCAAAUAUUUCGAGUAAAACAAAGGAAAGGAAAGCAGAAAAACUUUUUGUUGUUGUUGACAAAUCCAGCUGGGUAAAUGCAAUUUAUGUCUUUUGAAAAAAUGCAUCCUGAUGUGAGGAGGGAUAAACUGUUUUUAAACUCGAACCAGGGACAAACUGUAAUAAUAAACACACUGGAAGAAAAUGCAACCAUUUAUUGGUUCUUGCAGAUAAAAUAGCAUUUCCAGUUUUUUUUUUUUUGUUUUUUUUUUUUGCUGUUGCUUAUGUAGUUCUCCUUACUGGAAUUCCUCUCCCUUUCUUUGAAUGUAUAAUCACAUUUUGAGAAAACACGAAAUCUCAGGGUCUUACAAAAUCCAACAGGGGAACGUGUCAUCUUUAAAUGACAAGCUGUGUGGGGAGUACUCUGGUUAUGAAUUAGGCUGUUUUUCCUAGUACUGCAAUUUCUUCUUGCUGCCAUUUCGAUGGUGUUGAAAGCCCUUUCUCCAGACUUGUAAGUUGGUGGUCCACUACUGAAUGGAAAGAAAUCUGGUUUUCCAUAUGUUCUCACUCAUAGGUGGGAAUUGAACAAUGAGAACACUUGGA
Molecule: long non-coding RNA, 1533 nt
Filed under: Homo sapiens (human)
Lineage: Eukaryota; Metazoa; Chordata; Mammalia; Primates; Hominidae
Description: HSALNT0250086
Source: RNAcentral